AUUGAACGCUGGCGGCAUGCCUUACACAUGCAAGUCGAACGGCAGCACGGGAGCAAUCCUGGUGGCGAGUGGCGAACGGGUGAGUAAUAUAUCGGAACGUGCCCAGUCGUGGGGAUAACGUAGCGAAAGCUACGCUAAUACCGCAUACGAUCUAUGGAUGAAAGCGGGGGAUCGCAAGACCUCGCGCGAUUGGAGCGGCCGAUAUCAGAUUAGGUAGUUGGUGAGGUAAAGGCUCACCAGGCCGACGAUCUGUAGCUGGUCUGAGAGGACGACCAGCCACACUGGGACUGAGACACGGCCCAGACUCCUACGGGAGGCAGCAGUGGGGAAUUUUUGGGACAAUGGGCGCAAGCCUGAUCCAGCAAUGCCGCGUGCAGGAUGAAGGCC
This 387-nucleotide ribosomal RNA is filed under the name uncultured bacterium. RNAcentral describes it as "bacterial SSU rRNA". It matches the Rfam family "Bacterial small subunit ribosomal RNA", at positions 30 to 416 of the family's 1533-position model. The record is from RNAcentral.